AUUGAAAGCUGGCGGCAGGCCUAACACAUGCAAGUCGAACGAGUGGCGGACGGGUGAGUAACGCCUGGGAAACUGCCUGAUGGAGGGGGAUAACUACUGGAAACGGUAGCUAACACCGCACACCAUCGGAUGUGCCCAGAUGGGAUUAGCUAGUAGGUGGGGUAACGGCUCACCAAGGCGACGAUCCCUAGCUGGUCUGAGAGGAUGACCAGCCACCCUGAGACUGAUACACGGCCCAGACUCCUACGUGAGGCAGCAGUGGGGAAUUUUGGACAAUGGGCGAAAGCCUGAUCCAGCCAUGCCGCGUGUCUGAAGAGGGCCUUCGGGUUGUAAAGGACUUUUGUCAGGGAAGCGGUACCUGAAGAAUAAGCACCGGCUAACUACGUGCCAGCAGCCGCGGUAAUUC
RNAcentral lists this ribosomal RNA (406 nucleotides) under uncultured bacterium. RNAcentral describes it as "partial 16S ribosomal RNA". It matches the Rfam family "Bacterial small subunit ribosomal RNA", at positions 30 to 526 of the family's 1533-position model. The record is from RNAcentral.